AAAACUGAAAAUUAAAUCGACGGGGAUUUCCUCAUAAUGUUUACUAAUCAAUACUUAGUUACAUUAAGGGGGUUGUUGUGGAGAUAGUUUAUUUGUCAAU
This 100-nucleotide non-coding RNA is filed under the name Schistosoma japonicum. The record is from RNAcentral. Lineage: Eukaryota; Metazoa; Platyhelminthes; Trematoda; Strigeidida; Schistosomatidae.